CCAUCAUACUCCAUAGAACGAACUGAUUUCUCUUCUUCUUCUCUUUGGAUCCCUAAAGCUUUAAUAUUUUUUUUUCUAUUUUUUUUCUAACUUUUUACUCAAUUUUUCUACUCCCAAGACUUAUUCCAUAACUUCCUAUUUAUAGAUAAAUUUUUUAUAUUUUUUUGGUAGGAAAAGGAGUCCUAAAAUACUCAGAAAUCAUAUAAAAUCCUUUACAAUUAUUUCUAACC
Molecule: long non-coding RNA, 230 nt
Filed under: Elaeis guineensis (African oil palm)
Lineage: Eukaryota; Viridiplantae; Streptophyta; Magnoliopsida; Arecales; Arecaceae
Description: long non-coding RNA (EGUI_LNC054747)
Source: RNAcentral